RNAcentral lists this long non-coding RNA (822 nucleotides) under Homo sapiens (human). Its description in RNAcentral is "non-protein coding lnc-ATIC-3:4". The record is from RNAcentral. Lineage: Eukaryota; Metazoa; Chordata; Mammalia; Primates; Hominidae.
UUAAACUAUAACUAGCAAGAAAUGAGAAACUGAUUACAUCUGCUUAUUUGGACAGUGAAUGGAACCACAUAUUCUGCCUGUUGGCAAACACCAAAUCUGUAUAGUUUAUUUUCUUCAAAGGGAAUCAUGAUUGCCAACAAUCACUCAGCACCAACAAUUUACUGAAUGUUUAUCUGCCUGCAUUCUUCUUGUGGCUGGAAAUGUAGCAGUGAACCAGACCGAGACCCUGAUCCGCUGGGUAUAUAGCUGGGGGAGUCAGACAUUCAUGAAAAUGACUUCUAGUGCCACAGAUAUUUCAAAAGAUGCAGUAAAGAGUUCUGUGGGUCUGAAUGAUAUGGUGUGCUAACCAAAUAUGUGAAGGUGGCGAAGGUCUCCUAGAAGAAUUGGUGCAAAACUUGAGUCUCAAAGGAUGAGCUGGGUGAGGAGUUGGGCACAGUAUUCUGGGCAGUGGGAACAUCAUGGACAGAAGCCUGAAUGCAGCGGAGAGACUGACUCACUUGUGGGCAUGAAGGAGAUCAGCAUGACUGGAUUGGAGCUCACUUCCUGGUGUUUUCACCUCAUUGCAUCCCUGGUUGGUUUCUGUUGCUUGCAAUGAAAGAACCCUUACAAAUGCAAUAAUGCAGAAGUAACAAUGAAGAUGACACUGAUUCACACAAGAUUUAAUUUGUUACAUGAGUAAAUAAACAAAGCAAAAUGAACAGAAUUUACUAUACUGCAUCCCUGCUGGGAGUAUGUUGAGCUAUCUGGCCUGGAAGGCCUUUGUGACCUGUUGAAAGAAUAUACAUGGAUUUACUUCAGGAGAAAAAUAAAGUGUUAUUUUAA